AUUGAACGCUGGCGGCAGGCCUAACACAUGCAAGUCGAGCGAGAGGCGGGCGGGUGAGAAAUGUCUGGGAAAAUGCGUGAUGGAGGGGGAGAAAAAUUGGAAACGGUAGCGAAUACCGCUUACCCUCAGAUGUGCGCAGAGGGGAUUAGCUAGUAGGUGGGGUAACGGCGCACCUAGGCGACGAUCCCUAGCUGGGCUGAGAGGAUGACCAGCCACACUGGAACUGAGACACGGUCCAGAAUCCUACGGGAGGCAGCAGUGGGGAAUAUUGCACAAUGGGCGCAAGCCUGAUGCAGCCAUGCCGCGUGUGUGAAGAAGGCCUUCGGGUUGUAAAGCACUUUCAGCGGGGAGGCGUUACCCGCAGAAGAAGCACCGGCUAACUCCGUGCCAGCAGCCGCGGUAAUAC
RNAcentral lists this ribosomal RNA (406 nucleotides) under uncultured bacterium. Its description in RNAcentral is "partial 16S ribosomal RNA". It matches the Rfam family "Bacterial small subunit ribosomal RNA", at positions 29 to 526 of the family's 1533-position model. The record is from RNAcentral.